RNAcentral lists this small RNA (271 nucleotides) under Pseudomonas agarici. RNAcentral describes it as "Pseudomonas sRNA P24". It matches the Rfam family "Pseudomonas sRNA P24". From Rfam's summary of the family: P24 is conserved across several Pseudomonas species and in Azotobacter vinelandii. It appears to be consistently located between a hypothetical protein gene and a transcriptional regulator gene (AsnC family) in the genomes of all these species. P24 has a predicted Rho independent terminator at the 3' end but the function of P24 is unknown. The record is from Rfam by way of RNAcentral. Lineage: Bacteria; Pseudomonadati; Pseudomonadota; Gammaproteobacteria; Pseudomonadales; Pseudomonadaceae.
UUGCGCAAGGCAUGUUUAAUUGAGCAAUAUUAGCAAUCCUCUGUCACCACGUCGGGCCUAUGCUUAUCACCAGAAUCACUGCAACAAAAUCACUGCCCGGACAUAGCGUCCACAGCGGCCCGCCGAACCAGGUGCGCCGCGGCCGACAAUCCCACAGGGUUGCCCCGGCCCCCCGGGCUGCACACUGUCCAGAAGACGGCGUGAGGUGAGCCGGCAUCAAAAGCGCCGAGCACGGACGAAAUUCUCCAAAGGGAGGCCGACGGGCCUCCCU